AUUUCAUAAACAUGUAAAUAUUUAUAAAGUAUGAGACAUGUUGAAUGAAAUGUAUUUAUUUUAUAUUAUAAUAAAUAAGUCUUGACCAAUAUAAAAAUGUCAAAAAUAAAUUCAUAUUAGAAUUUUAAAGCUUUAAGAUAUAAGUAAAGUUAAUAGUUCUACUUAUAGCACCAGAAAACUCCUAAUAAAAAAAGAUGAGCAAAAAAAAAGCAAAUCGAAAGAAUAGUUAGAGAAAAUAUAUAUUUGAAAGGAAUAAAUUUAAAGGAAUAU
This 270-nucleotide long non-coding RNA is filed under the name Brassica napus (rape). RNAcentral describes it as "long non-coding RNA (BNAP_LNC014717)". Lineage: Eukaryota; Viridiplantae; Streptophyta; Magnoliopsida; Brassicales; Brassicaceae. The record is from RNAcentral.